UCUCCAGACUCCUACGGGAGGCAGCAGUGGGGAAUAUUGCACAAUGGGGGAAACCCUGAUGCAGCGACGCCGCGUGAGUGAAGAAGUAUUUCGGUAUGUAAAGCUCUAUCAGUAGGGAAGAAAAUGACGGUACCUGACUAAGAAGCCCCGGCUAACUACGUGCCAGCAGCCGCGGUAAUACGUAGGGGGCAAGCGUUAUCCGGAUUUACUGGGUGUAAAGGGAGCGUAGACGGCGAAGCAAGUCUGAAGUGAAAACCCAGGGCUCAACCCUGGGACUGCUUUGGAAACUGCCUGACUGGAGUGCUGGAGAGGCAAGCGGAAUUCCUAGUGUAGCGGUGAAAUGCGUAGAUAUUAGGAAGAACACCAGUGGCGAAGGCGGCUUGCUGGACAGUAACUGACGUUGAGGCUCGAAAGCGUGGGGAGCAAACAGGAUUAGAUACCCGAGUA
Molecule: ribosomal RNA, 447 nt
Filed under: uncultured bacterium
Lineage: Bacteria
Description: bacterial SSU rRNA
Rfam family: Bacterial small subunit ribosomal RNA
Source: RNAcentral